CCUACCCCUGCAAGUGUUACAGGUGUGGCUGCUGUAUCACAUGUGAGUCAGUAGUUGCAGAGGGCAGAGAGGCUAUGUUUACAUUCAGUGGUCUGUCCUAUGAACAUCUGAGUGAUUAGUGGUCUAUUACU
Small nucleolar RNA from Mastomys coucha (southern multimammate mouse), 131 nucleotides. RefSeq annotates it as small nucleolar RNA SNORA17. The record is from RefSeq and is a predicted model, not a curated record. NCBI's taxonomy places the organism in Eukaryota, Metazoa, Chordata, Mammalia, Rodentia, Muridae. The transcript has a single exon.